Pelobates cultripes (western spadefoot toad) is the source of this 305-nucleotide non-coding RNA. The record is from the annotation of a GenBank genome assembly. NCBI's taxonomy places the organism in Eukaryota, Metazoa, Chordata, Amphibia, Anura, Pelobatidae.
CUCUGACUGGGCCACUUCAGAAGGCGUAUUUUCUUGUGUUUAAGCCAUUCUGUUGUUGAUUUACUUCUAUGCUUUGGGUCAUUGUCCUGUUGCAACACCCAUCUUCUGUUGAGCUUCAGCUGGUAGACAGAUGGCCUUAAGUUCUCCUGCAAAAUGUCUUGAUAAACUUGGGAAUUCAUUUUUCCUUCAAUGAUGUUACGCUACAUGGGUGAUUUGGAUUGGAACUCAACUGCAGCUUGUAAACUCCCUAAUUACAAUUGUGAAGAAACAGAGAAUCUUUAAAGUAUCAAUACUGUAGCUUUAAG